RNAcentral lists this ribosomal RNA (451 nucleotides) under uncultured bacterium. Its description in RNAcentral is "partial 16S ribosomal RNA". It matches the Rfam family "Bacterial small subunit ribosomal RNA", at positions 354 to 796 of the family's 1533-position model. The record is from RNAcentral.
GUGAGGAAUAUUGGACAAUGGGCGCAAGCCUGAUCCAGCCAUGCCGCGUGUGUGAAGAAGGCCUUUUGGUUGUAAAGCACUUUAAGCGAGGAGGAGGCUCCUUUAGUUAAUACCUAAAGAGAGUGGACGUUACUCGCAGAAUAAGCACCGGCUAACUCUGUGCCAGCAGCCGCGGUAAUACAGAGGGUGCGAGCGUUAAUCGGAUUUACUGGGCGUAAAGCGUGCGUAGGCGGCUUUUUAAGUCGGAUGUGAAAUCCCUGAGCUUAACUUAGGAAUUGCAUUCGAUACUGGAAAGCUAGAGUAUGGGAGAGGAUGGUAGAAUUCCAGGUGUAGCGGUGAAAUGCGUAGAGAUCUGGAGGAAUACCGAUGGCGAAGGCAGCCAUCUGGCCUAAUACUGACGCUGAGGUACGAAAGCAUGGGGAGCAAACAGGAUUAGAAACCCGAGUAGUCC